Molecule: long non-coding RNA, 1022 nt
Organism: Chelonia mydas (Green sea turtle)
Lineage: Eukaryota; Metazoa; Chordata; Testudines; Cheloniidae
Exons: 4
Source: RefSeq, a predicted model, not a curated record
AGACCACGCCACGCUGCAUCACAUGGAAAGUCCUGCAGACAUGACUGCGUUUCCCAUCCACAGUGUUAUACAGGAUGACAGCAGGAGCUACACCUGACGUUAUGGCAGCACAUCACAAGCCUUCAUCUGGUCAGAUCCCAGUGACCCUGCGGAGCUGGUGGUGAGAGGUGGAAACAACCUCACUGGGCUUGAAACAUCACCAUAUCCAAUCAGCCCAGGGACCACACGGACAGCCCUCAGGAGGCCCCUGGAUUUCACCUGGGGCAACAUCCUCCGUCUGGGUCUGGUCUCCGGGGUUCUGCUGGCCCUGGUGCUGAUCAUGGCCGAGGCUGGUUACUGCUGGAAGGAGACUCCAGGGGAGCCUGGAUCCAGCCAUGCAGAGAUGAAGAUCUCCUUAGGGGAAGAGCCCUAUCUGCUUGGAGGGCUCCACAGGGCAGAAAAGCCACUCUCCCUUCCUCCAGGAAAUCCCUGCUUCAGGGAAUCUCACAUUUAUUCCAUGGUGCUCCCAACUCAACAGCUGGACCCUUGGGAGCAAACUCUCGACCCCCAGCACCGAGCACACCAGCCCCUGUGUCACCAGCUAAGGGAGCACCUGCCAGGGCCCCAGGGGAUGGGGAAGCAGGGCCGUAGCAGAGCCCCGUGCAGGGAAGGUGCUGCCUAUGUCUGUGGGAAGCCCAGGGUGGGGUGUGGGGGGCUGGGCGCUGUAUAGGGCCCCCUCAAUAAAUAACCCCUUCCCUGCCAGAUUCCCUGCUCCUCCUGCUCCCUGCUGGGGAUAUGACCUGAGAAGAUGAGGGAAGGCCGUUAGUGCUUCCUUAGCCAGAGCAUUUGCUUCCCGACCUCAGGGGAUGAGCCGGAUCCCUGAGUAUGCCCCGGAGCCAAUGUCAGACUAGGGGGGUGGAGCAGAGCGAGAUUCCCUGAUCAUAAGAAUGGCCAUACUGGGUCUGUUCAGCCCAGUGUCCUGUCUGCUGGGGGGAGCAUGGGGCAGGGGAUCUGGGUGCAGGGAGAAGGGGACAGGAGACACC